This 1432-nucleotide long non-coding RNA is filed under the name Bos taurus (domestic cattle). RNAcentral describes it as "long non-coding RNA NONBTAT018531". The record is from RNAcentral. Lineage: Eukaryota; Metazoa; Chordata; Mammalia; Artiodactyla; Bovidae.
UUAUUCCAGAACUGUCCAAGAAGCAACCUUUUAAUGUUAAAUUAUCAUAUAUGAAUAUUGUAUGAGAUUGCAGAUUAGUUUUCACUGUAAUAAUCCAGCAUUGUAAUAGUAUUUGCUUCAUGUAUUCUGUUGAAGGAACUAUUGUGAUUCAUAUUAUGAUUAUUAGCAACAAUUUUUAUUUUACCUUGCAUGUAUAAAAAUUAAAUUAUAGUAGGAUCAAAUAUGAAAAUGGCAAUAGGAAUGUUAGAUGCAAAGAUCUACACACAUUUUUUCAUAUAUCUGAAUUAGGUCUAAAUACACAAAACUUUUUUAAGUUCUCCCCCUAAAACUAAUAUGAACCAAACUCAAGCAAAAAACCCCAGUCUUCUCAUCCAAUACUUACACACAGCUAGAUGAUAGUGGCUUGUAGACAUCAAGAAAAAGAUUUCAUUCUAAGUCUUUUUUCAUUAGAAAGUAUAUGAUUAUAGACUUUAGUUAUCAAACUUUAAAUUUCAUGUUUUAAUAUAAAUUAAUCCAAAUGCUUUCUUCUUUAGCAUGACAAAGUAAUUCCAUUUAAAAAUUCUCUUUAAAUCUAAACUUCCACAUUACUUGACAUUUUCAAAAGUACCAAAAAUUGAUAGUUGCGUAAGCUCUAUUAUUUGUAGUUUUCUUAAAGCAUUUGAUUAAUUCUUAUAUGUAUAUUCUUUAAAAUAUAAUAGCAAAUAUGUUGAGAAGAGUGACAAUAAAUACCUUCCUUUUCUGUUCUGUAAAACUUUUUUAACAUUUUGAGUCCUAGUUUACUUGGUCCUAAGGGUUAAAUGAUAAGAAGUGUAAGUACAAUUGUUCUAUUCUUAUGACCUGGUGAUUUGUGAAAAUUUCUUUUAUCUUGAGAUCGAGAAAUUUAAUAAAGCUUUCCAGAACUGAAUUAGUUAUCUAAAUAUUUUGGACAAGUGCUACUUACAAAUAAAAUUUGAAAGUGUAUUAAUCAAAAAUUUAUUCCUUACACUGUUUUUUUUCUUUCUUUUCUUCUUUUUUAAACUUCAAGUUCCAUUUAAAGUUUUGACCUUUGCAUGGACUAAGUCAAGAAAAGAGAAAUUCUGCUUUUUAAAAUAUUGGUUUAUAGUGGUAUAUUUUUGCCUCAGCAAUAAAUUGGCAGGUGACCAAAAAUGUUAAAUUAAAAUUAAUUGCACACUUUGAGAUUGUUGCCUUUCUUGGUGUUUUUCCUUUUUGCCUUAUUAUGAGUUGGGUAUAUGGUAUUGAAGGAAACUAUGCAGGUAAAACAGUUUCUAUUAACUGGACUGUAUUAACUAAAAAGAGCUACACAAAGUUUUUACUUUAUCCUCACCUGCCAAUUUGAAAACUAUUGGUAAAAUCAUUAUUCAAUAGGCCAAUAUUUUCUAAAUUAGUAAGACUUACCUUACAAAAGUUAUCAGAUGAUGCUGAUAUUUCUCUU